This 164-nucleotide ribosomal RNA is filed under the name Adansonia gregorii (boab). RNAcentral's name for it is "5.8S ribosomal RNA". It matches the Rfam family "5.8S ribosomal RNA". From Rfam's summary of the family: 5.8S ribosomal RNA (5.8S rRNA) is a component of the large subunit of the eukaryotic ribosome. It is transcribed by RNA polymerase I as part of the 45S precursor that also contains 18S and 28S rRNA. Functionally, it is thought that 5.8S rRNA may be involved in ribosome translocation. The record is from RNAcentral. Lineage: Eukaryota; Viridiplantae; Streptophyta; Magnoliopsida; Malvales; Malvaceae.
GAAAUGACUCUCGGCAACGGAUAUCUCGGCUCUCGCAUCGAUGAAGAANGUAGCGAAAUGCGAUACUUGGUGUGAAUUGCAGAAUCCCGUGAACCAUCGAGUCUUUGAACGCAAGUUGCGCCCGAGGCCACUAGGCCGAGGGCACGCCUGCCUGGGUGUCACGC